Non-coding RNA from Callithrix jacchus (white-tufted-ear marmoset), 2986 nucleotides. The record is from RefSeq and is a predicted model, not a curated record. NCBI's taxonomy places the organism in Eukaryota, Metazoa, Chordata, Mammalia, Primates, Cebidae.
CUACAGGCACCAGGCUGCCUAGGAAGCCAGGUGGUGACUUUAAGAUCUCUGUGGAGAAACGCACAGCUCGACGGAGGAUCCGACGAAGAACCAACCUAAAGGGGUUCAGAGCCCAGACAUGAACUCCCAGCAGCUCAUGCCCUUCCAGACUCACGGGGCACCUGACAUCCCAGGGAAGACGCCAUCAGCGAUGCAGAUGCUGAGUGUGCGGAUGUGGUCAGCUACCACGCGGUACGCUGUGUCUGUGCGCCCCUCAUCUGCCACCCCUACCCGGCCCAAGUAAGGGGGUGCCCUGCAGCCCUGGGAAGCAGGAGAGAAAGAGUUGGCCAGUGGUCCUGCCUGACCUGGCCCAGGUGGGUGCUCUUUAUCACCGCCAGAGCACCUGCCGUUAGCCCUAAAGCCAGCCACAUCCAGAAUGGCCUUGCCAGUCCAGUCAUGGGCUCAGAAGCCUUAUGGAUGAACAGGAGCCAGGCCCUAUCCCUGUGGAACUCAUGUUUGGUGCUACAAGUGAUCACAUCUGUGAUCACUUACUGAAUUUCUACUAUCAGAACUGGGUUAGUGCUUGAACAACAUGACCUCUAAUCCCCAAAACAGCCUGUUCCGGAAAGUAUCAGUAUCCUUGCUUUAAAGAAGAGGAAGCUGAGGCUCAGAGGAACUCGGUGAUAGAGGCUACAACUCACAAGGAGCAGAUCUGAGAUCUCAGCCAGGCCUGUUGGACUCCAGGUGCCUUCCACUACCCGUUCUCGCCUCUCCCAUCUUUUGUGGGGGUACGCAGAAAGGGAGGGCGUAAGCUACAUACACAUGGAAGUGAUCCAAGGCAGGGAACUUGUUUACCUAGCUCCAAACCUCUCUCUUCCCCAGGCUUCAUUUCAGGAAACAGUCAUGCCAGUCACUAUGUUGCUCAAGUCAAUAGCCUGGGAGCCAUCUUUGAUUUCUCUUUCUCCUCCCCAUCCAAUCCAUCAGUGGGUCCUUUUGCUUCUACCUCCAUGAGAUCUCUCAAAUCAAUCUAUUUGUCUCUACUUCCACUGCUGUUAGCUGAAGCCAUGCCCUGUGAUCUUUGCCUGGACUGGUAAUAGCCUCCCAACUGAUUCCUCAGCUUCUGCUCUUGUCUCCCUCCAGCUCAUCCUCCACACAGCAACAGGAGUCGCCUUUCAAAAGUGUACACCAGGCUGGACACAGUGGCUCAUGCCUGUAAUCCCAACACUCUGGGAGGCUGAAGUGGGUGGAUCACCCGAGGUCAAGAGUUCAAGAUUACUCUGGCCAACAUGGUGAGAGUCCAUCUCUACUAAAAAUACAAAAAUUAGCCAGGGAUGGUGGUAGGUGCCUGUAAUCCCAGCUACUCAGGAGGCUGAGGCAGGAGAAUAGCUUGAGUCCAGGAGGCAGAAGUAGCAGUGAGCCGAGAUCAUGCCACUGCACUCCAGCCUGGGCAACAGAGCAAGACUCUGCCUCAAAAAAAAAAAGUUAUCAGCUGGGAGUGGCAUGAUCUGAUGCAUACUUUUAUUUAUUUAUUUAGAGACUAAGUCUCACUCUGUUGCCCAGGUUGGAGUACAGUGGCACAAUCUCGGCUCACUGCAACCUCCACCUCCCAGGUUCAAGCAAUUUCCUCCUGUCUCAGCCUCCCAAGUGGCUGGGACUACAGGUGUGUGCCAUCAUGCCUGGCUAAUUUUUCUAUUUUUUAGUAGUGACAGGGUUUUGUCAUGUUGGCCAGGCUGGUCCUGACCUCAAGUGAUCUGCCUCCCUCAGCCUCCCCAAGUGCUGGGAUUAUAGGCGUGAGCCACCGCGCCUGGCCCUGAGAACCCUUCUCGGCCACUCUGAGAAUCAAAGCACCACUUUGGACUUUAAGGCCCACAAGACUGGACUCUGCCUUCUUCUCUGUAGUAGACUGUUCGCAAAAAUGGCCCUUUCCUAUGCAUAUGCCACUUUAAAAUGGGACUUCGCAGCUGUUUCCCAUCAAGAGACAGAAUCCAUUUUCCAUCCCCUGAAUCUUUGUGACUUGCUUUGGCCCAUAGAAUAUGGUAGAAAUAACAUUGUCCUGAGCCUAUGUGUCUGAUCUCUGUCUUGGUAUCUUGCUGAGCUGUGAUGUGGACAAGCCCAGACUAACCAGCUAGGUGAUGACAGACACAUGGCCCAGUCACCCCAACUGCCCCCAAACUGACAGUCAGUCAAACCCCAGAAGAGGAGCUGCCUCUCAGCUGACCACAGAUGGAUGAGUGAGCUCACACAAGACCCAAAGAAAGCCCAGCCUGAACUGCUACCCUGCAGACUCAGGGGGCAAAUAAAUGGUUGUCGGUUAAGCCACAGAGCAUUAGGAUGGUUUGCUAUGCCGCAAAAGCUAACUGACACAUGUCCCAACUAUAUCCCAUGGGAUUCUCCUUUUUGUUCUUGGCACAUGUCAAGCCCUUUCUUGCAGGGAAAGGAGGGAGGGUAUAAGCUACACACACAUGAAAAUGCUUCAAAGCAGGGAGCUCGAUGCACCUAGCUCCAAACCCCUCUCUUCCCCAAGCUUCAUCUCAAUAAACAGUCAUGCCAUUCACUUUGUUACUCAAGUCAAUAGCCUGGGAGCCAUCUUUGAUUUCUCUUUCCCCUCCCUAUCCAAUCCAUCAGUACUAAGGCCCUUGGUACCUGCUGUCCCCUCUGCCUGGAAAGAGCUUCCUGUGGCUGAUUCCUCUUCCACUGGGGCUCAACUCAAAGGUCACCUUCUUGGUGAGCCUUCCCCAAACACCUUAUCUAAGACUCCUCUGCACCCUCCUUCCUCCUAGUUACUCUCACCUAUGGUUACUGCCUGUUCACAGUCUCCAAGCUAUUACCUUGCUCUUUAACACACUUAUUGUCUAUCUCUCAUGCUAGCAUGUAAUCUUCAUGAUCUCUUUUCUGUUUACUGAUGUGUCUUCUGUAGCAAGCACAAAAGACUUAACACAAAGGAGCCACUCAACACGUAUUUUCUGAAUAAAUGAAAGAAGGAGUCAGGAGCAACAUCAGGUAAUAA